AAAAAAAAAAAAAAGAUACCCCAUGGACGUCCGUAAUGCUGAUGUACCGCUCACAACAUACUAAUUGAAACUGAGUCGGAUAACCCUGGUCAGUGAUCCUGCCUCAUUUACAAUCCGGAUAGGAACUCCACAAGCCACUCCCAAGGUACAUGUUACAGGGUCAGAAACAAUGAAACAAGGCAUCGGAGCAGUGUGGCAACAGGUUCUGGUGGUUGGCUGUCCAUUCUUAGGGCUUUGAGGCCUGGCUGAGAACUGAAGAGACCUGAGAUUUCGUGUUCCAACUCCUUCACUUGGAAACAAUAAGCCCACAAGGUCCACAGAGGGAUGAGCAACCUCCUGGACAGUCCAUCCCCAUGGAUACCCAGAAGAACCAUAGAAGCAUCCUGGACAGUCCAUCCCCACGGGUACCCAGAGGAGCCUUAGGCAUCAUGGAGAGAUGCAUCCUGGACAGUCCAUCCUCAUGGAUACCCAGAGGAGCCUUAGGCAUCAUAGAGAGAUGCAUCCUGGACAGCCCAUCCCCAUGGGUACCCAAAGGAGCCUUAGGUAUAGCUGAUAGAUGCAUCCUGAACAGUCCAUCCCCAUGGAUACCCAGAGGAGCCUUAGGCAUCAUAGAGAGAUGCAUCCUGGACAGCCCAUCCCCAUGGGUACCCAGAGGAGCCUUAGGCAUCAUGGAGAGAUGCAUCCUGAACAGUCCAUCCCCAUGGAUACCCAGAGGAGCCUUAGGCAUCAUAGAGAGAUGCAUCCUGGACAGUCCAUCCUCAUGGAUACCCAGAGGAGCCUUAGGCAUCAUGGAGAAAUGCAUCCUGGACAGCCCAUCCCCACGGGUACCCAGAGGAGCCUUAGGCAUCAUGGAGAGAUGCAUCCCUUGAACAUAGGUUCUUACUGCACAUUCACAGCCCACUUACUUUGGUUUAACUUCUCUGUGGCAAUGGCCUGAAGCAGAAGAGAAGGCUGUCUAGGUGUGUAGUCUGACUAGAGACCUUCUCUCAGGUGGACUCUGAACAAGCACGUGCAUACAUGAGAGCGAAAGACAGGAACAGACGACAGACAGACAGGCAGACACUGGGGAGAUUGGGGGGAGUGGACACUAGAAGUCCCAGCCCAGAGGCAGGCAGAAGUGCCCAUGCCCUGCAAGAGAAGCUUUUUGCUGGCCUCUCCCUGUUUUCCUGUGAAGACCAGCUCUUAGCAAGGACAGACACCGUCCAGAUGGGUCACUGGGAGUCCACAAGCCCCGCCCACCAGGAUUCAAACCACAGGCCACACCCAGGCCUGGCUGGGAAUGGCAUCUCUCAUGUUAGGAAAUAUGAACCUCCAGGAUCCCAUAUGGGUCUGGGAGUGCCCUCACAGAGAGCCCUUUGUGCCUGGGAGAGGGGUGGCCUGUUUAUUCUGGCAGCUGUCCAGACAUUGCCUACCUCCAUUCACCGGGGCGCCCCACCUUCCCUCUGCGUUUGGCCCCUCCCUUCCUCCCAGGACACCAGCGACUCUACCAAGGGCAGGAACUCAGGAGGAGGAGGAGGCCUAGCUCUGAGGGAACCGUGACCCCGGAGAGCCUUAGGCUUAGAGGCUGAGAUGACUUCAGGGCCUGCUGUCAGAAAGAGACAGGGCUCAGGGGACAGUCUCAGGAUGAGGGAGCAUGGAGUAGAAACAAGGAAUAUCCUCAGGGCUGGAAUGGAGUUGCUCCGUGGCUACCAACACCUUCCAGUUCCUUCUGCCUGGGAAGAGGGUGGGAUACGGCGCCAUCUGGCUUGUUGCUGGGAGACACCGUCUCUAAAGGUCCACGAUUAUAGUUGCAACUGCUCUUGUUUCUUUUAAAAAUGAAGCUAAAAAGCCCACAGGAAUCUCACGCUCCUCAGUCUUCCUCCCCCUGCUGUCGGCUCCUAUUAUGAAUCCACGACAUCUGCUGGGAGUUAAUUAUGCGUUGUGUGAAGGGUGCAGACCUCCCUUUAACGGAUUUCCCGUCUGGGCAGCAGCAGAAGUCCUAAGUGGAUGUUUUGUUGACAUAGCACAGCCAUGUCAAGGACCCUACAGCCUCCGGGUCAGAAGGAUGGCGAAGUCCAAGUGUUGACGAUGUGCACAGGAAAUGGCCACCAUGCCCCACCACAUAUUUGGCCUGAAGACUGAUGUCUUAGAGACUUCUCCUACCAGGAGUAGCCGGCCCCGCCUCCUUAAGCCAGCGGUAUACCACACAUCCUCUCUCUUUGUUUAUCUAAGACAAUUCCGCCUUCUUGCCCAGCUGUAUACCAUAACUGACUCCCAGUCCAACCAUGUAUAAUAAACACAUUGAGGCCAGA
Mesocricetus auratus (golden hamster) is the source of this 2291-nucleotide long non-coding RNA. RefSeq lists it as uncharacterized. The record is from RefSeq and is a predicted model, not a curated record. NCBI's taxonomy places the organism in Eukaryota, Metazoa, Chordata, Mammalia, Rodentia, Cricetidae. The transcript is spliced from 2 exons.